UGAACUUGAUGUGGCAAUCGGGGG
This 24-nucleotide non-coding RNA is filed under the name Rattus norvegicus (Norway rat). The record is from RNAcentral. Lineage: Eukaryota; Metazoa; Chordata; Mammalia; Rodentia; Muridae.